RNAcentral lists this ribosomal RNA (440 nucleotides) under uncultured bacterium. RNAcentral describes it as "partial 16S ribosomal RNA". It matches the Rfam family "Bacterial small subunit ribosomal RNA", at positions 338 to 795 of the family's 1533-position model. The record is from RNAcentral.
CCUACGGGCGGCAGCAGUAGGGAAUAUUGCUCAAUGGGGGAAACCCUGAAGCAGCAACGCCGCGUGGAGGAUGAAGGUUUUCGGAUUGUAAACUCCUUUUGUUAGAGAAGAUAAUGACGGUAUCUAACGAAUAAGCACCGGCUAACUCCGUGCCAGCAGCCGCGGUAAUACGGAGGGUGAAAGCGUUACUCGGAAUCACUGGGCGGAAAGAGCGCGUAGGCGGGAUAGCAAGUCAGAUGUGAAAUCCUAUGGCUUAACCAUAGAACUGCAUUUGAAACUGUUAUUCUAGAGUAUGGGAGAGGUAGGUGGAAUGCUUGGUGUAGGGGUAAAAUCCGUAGAGAUCAAGAGGAAUACUCAUUGCGAAGGCGACCUGCUAGAACAUAACUGACGCUGAUGCGCGAAAGCGUGGGGAGCAAACAGGAUUAGAUACCCCAGUAGUC